This 559-nucleotide long non-coding RNA is filed under the name Prunus persica (peach). RNAcentral's name for it is "long non-coding RNA (PPER_LNC003445)". The record is from RNAcentral. Lineage: Eukaryota; Viridiplantae; Streptophyta; Magnoliopsida; Rosales; Rosaceae.
UUGGUGCAUUGCAUAGUUUUAGCCAUUCGAUUUCGCUCAAAAGUCACCAAAUGACUCCGCCCAUCAUAUUAUGAUGUUCCCCAAGUUUUGGACUCAAUCCGAUGUUGAUUGGUCCCUGAAAUUGGACAAUUCAGGUUCGUACGAAGGUCGUUAUGAAAUGGAGCGGUUGAUGUAUUGCAUAGUUCUAGCCAUUGGAUUUCACUCCAAACUCGCCAAAUGACUCCUAACACAACAUUAUGAUGUUCCCCAAGUUUUGGCCUCAAUCCGAUAUCGAUUGGUCCACAAAAUUGGAGAAUUCAUGUUCGUAUGAAGUUCGUUAUGAAAUGGAGUGGUUGGUGUAUUGCAUAGUUUUAGCCAUUGGAUUUUACUCAAAACUCACCAAAUUACUCCUCCCACCAUAUUAUGAUGUUCCCCAAGUUUUGGAAUCAAUCCGAUAUCGAUUGGUCCAUAAAAUUGGACAAUUAAGGUUCGUACAAAGUUCGUUAUGGAAUUCACUGCUUGGUGCAUUGCAUAGUUUUAGCCAUUGGAUUUCACUCAAAACUCCCCAAAUGACUCCUCC